AUACGGAGGGUGCAAGCGUUAUCCGGAAUCAUUGGGUUUAAAGGGUCCGCAGGCGGAUUAAUAAGUCAGUGGUGAAAUCCUCUCGCUCAACGAGAGAACUGCCAUUGAAACUGUUAGUCUUGAAUUCGGUCGAAGUAGGCGGAAUGUGUCAUGUAGCGGUGAAAUGCAUAGAUAUGACACAGAACACCGAUAGCGAAGGCAGCUUACUAGACCUGGAUUGACGCUCAUGGACGAAAGCGUGGGGAGCGAACAGGAUUAGAUACCAUAGUAGUCC
Molecule: ribosomal RNA, 274 nt
Filed under: uncultured bacterium
Lineage: Bacteria
Description: partial 16S ribosomal RNA
Rfam family: Bacterial small subunit ribosomal RNA
Source: RNAcentral